CAAUCUGCCCUAAAGACUGGGAUACCACUUGGAAACAGGUGCUAAUACUGGAUAACAACAUGAAUCGCAUGAUUCAAGUUUGAAAGGCGGCGCAAGCUGUCACUUUAGGAUGAGCCCGCGGCGCAUUAGCUAGUUUGUGGGGUAAAGGCCUACCAAGGCAAUGAUGCGUAGCCUAGUUGAGAGACUGAUCGGCCACAUUGGGACUGAGACACGGCCCAAACUCCUACGGGAGGCAGCAGCC
This 241-nucleotide ribosomal RNA is filed under the name uncultured Lactobacillus sp. RNAcentral describes it as "partial 16S ribosomal RNA". It matches the Rfam family "Bacterial small subunit ribosomal RNA", at positions 122 to 355 of the family's 1533-position model. Lineage: Bacteria; Bacillati; Bacillota; Bacilli; Lactobacillales; Lactobacillaceae. The record is from RNAcentral.